Molecule: ribosomal RNA, 468 nt
Filed under: uncultured bacterium
Lineage: Bacteria
Description: partial 16S ribosomal RNA
Rfam family: Bacterial small subunit ribosomal RNA
Source: RNAcentral
GACGAACGCUGGCGGCGGGCUUAACACAUGCAAGUCGAACGGAAAGGCCCUGCUUUUGUGGGGUGCUCGAGUGGCGAACGGGUGAGUAACACGUGAGUAACCUGCCCUUGACGUUGGGAUAACUUCAGGAAACUGGGGCUAAUACCGGAUAGGAGCUCCUGCUGCAUGGUGGGGGUUGGAAAGUUUCGGCGGUUGGGGAUGGACUCGCGGCUUAUCAGCUUGUUGGUGGGGUAGUGGCUUACCAAGGCUUUGACGGGUAGCCGGCCUGAGAGGGUGACCGGCCACAUUGGGACUGAGAUACGGACCAGACUGCUACGGGAGGCAGCAGUGGGGAAUAUUGCACAAUGGGCGGAAGCCUGAUGCAGCAACGCCGCGUGCGGGAUGAAGGCCUUCGGGUUGUAAACCGCUUUCGCCUGUGACGAAGCGUGAGUGACGGUAAUGGGUAAAGAAGCACCGGCUAACUACGUG